CUCUCCGUUCUAAUUUUAAUGAAACAUUUUUUUUCUUCCUGGUUAUCUUUGCUGAUAUAAAAAAAAUAUACCCCAAGAGAAAGCAAAGCUGCCUCUGCAGAGGGAAUGCAUGCAUACGAACGCGGCGAGGAAGUGAAUUGUGAGACCCCCCCUGGGAUUCUCACAUUGGUGAAGCAGUGACCCUUGUGCCCACCCAUUUGUGCUCGCUGGACGGGGGCCAGAGCCAUCGCUGAUGGCCGAGCAAUUAUCUGCUCCAGCCAGACCUCACUCACUCCACCCCGCACUGCUGAGGGGGUUCCCUUGACCCACAAGAAUGUCAGCUUGUGCUCUGCAGCUGUGUACUCUGCCAAGAUUCAAAGGCAGAUGGAAGGGAGAGGACCCGAAGUGUUGGACUGAAAAGGCGGAAUCUGCUAAUCUCUUGUGAGGACGCAGUCCCCAGCUGUGCCUGCAGACCAGCGGACAAAGCUGCAUCAUCAUCCUCCUCCUCCUUCGUGCCACUCCUGGGAGCAGCGGCGGCGUGGGCGUGACCCGUCGAU
Molecule: long non-coding RNA, 536 nt
Organism: Pyrgilauda ruficollis (rufous-necked snowfinch)
Lineage: Eukaryota; Metazoa; Chordata; Aves; Passeriformes; Passeridae
Exons: 4
Source: RefSeq, a predicted model, not a curated record